GUCUACGGCCACGCCGCCUUCCUGAACGAGCCCGAUCCCGUCUGAUCUCGGAAGCUAAGCGGGGUCGGGCCUGGUUAGUACUUGGAUGGGAGACCACCUAGGAAGACCGGGUGGCGUAAAAA
Molecule: ribosomal RNA, 122 nt
Organism: Pteropus vampyrus (large flying fox)
Lineage: Eukaryota; Metazoa; Chordata; Mammalia; Chiroptera; Pteropodidae
Source: Ensembl